UAUGACAUAAUCGUGGGAAAGUAUCAGCUCUUUGAGGUCAGUCCACAUGAGAAUUUAGUCUCGGUAAAAAAAUCAUUAUUCAUCCCCAGUAUAACCAAACAAGCUUCAGAAGGGACAUUGCUCUGGUCAGGUUGUCCAGCCCGGUCAACUACACUAACUACAUCCUGCCAAUCUGCCUGCCGGGUUCAUCAGUCGUCUUCCCAACUGGUUUGGAAUGCUGGGCAACCGGAUGGGGUAAUAUGAACUCAGAAGGUCAGUACCAAAUUUCCAUUACACCUACUACCAGAAUUAAUUGGUUUCUCAC
This is a non-coding RNA of Pelobates cultripes (western spadefoot toad), 304 nucleotides long. NCBI's taxonomy places the organism in Eukaryota, Metazoa, Chordata, Amphibia, Anura, Pelobatidae. The record is from the annotation of a GenBank genome assembly.